UACGAGAGGUGCAAGCGUUGUUCGGAAUGACUGGGCGUAAAGCGCACGUAGGCGGGCAAGUAAGUCGGAUGUGAAAUCCCUGGGCUUAACCUGGGAACUGCAUCUGAAACUGCAUGUCUUGAAUGUCUCAGAGGUUGGUGGAAUUCCUGGUGUAGGAGUGAAAUCCGUAGAUAUCAGGAGGAACAUCGGAGGCGAAGGCGGCCAACUGGGAGCACAUUGACGCUGAGGUGCGAAAGCGUGGGGAGCAAACAGG
This 253-nucleotide ribosomal RNA is filed under the name uncultured bacterium. Its description in RNAcentral is "partial 16S ribosomal RNA". It matches the Rfam family "Bacterial small subunit ribosomal RNA", at positions 524 to 776 of the family's 1533-position model. The record is from RNAcentral.